RNAcentral lists this unclassified non-coding RNA (298 nucleotides) under Hevea brasiliensis (rubber tree). Lineage: Eukaryota; Viridiplantae; Streptophyta; Magnoliopsida; Malpighiales; Euphorbiaceae. The record is from RNAcentral.
GACAACUCUAUCAACAGUUCUUAAAUCUGUGGCUGCCUUACAGGCUGAUCACUUUUGCAGCCAAAUUCAUGCAUUUUCUGUGAAAUCAGGGUUUGAAUCUGACAAUUAUGUUGCAAACAGCCUUAUUGAUGCCUAUGGAAAAUGUGGUUAUAUAGAAGCUGCAACCCAAGUGUUCAAAGAAAGCCCAGUUGUAGAUUUGGUGGCAUUCACAUCUAUAAUAACAGCUUAUUCUCAAGAUGGACAAGGUGAAGAAGCUCUAAAGCUCUAUCUGGAAAUGCAGUACAAGGAUAUCAAGCCA